This 230-nucleotide ribosomal RNA is filed under the name uncultured bacterium. Its description in RNAcentral is "partial 16S ribosomal RNA". It matches the Rfam family "Bacterial small subunit ribosomal RNA", at positions 562 to 791 of the family's 1533-position model. The record is from RNAcentral.
AAAGCGUGCGCAGGCGGUUUUGUAAGACUGUCGUGAAAUCCCCGGGCUCAACCUGGGAAUGGCGAUGGUGACUGCAAGGCUAGAGUUUGGCAGAGGGGGGUAGAAUUCCACGAGUAGCAGUGAAAUGCGUAGAUAUGUGGAGGAACACCGAUGGCGAAGGCAGCCCCCUGGGUCAAAACUGACGCUCAUGCACGAAAGCGUGGGGAGCAAACAGGAUUAGAUACCCUUGU